RNAcentral lists this transfer RNA (72 nucleotides) under Camelus bactrianus (Bactrian camel). It matches the Rfam family "tRNA". From Rfam's summary of the family: Transfer RNA (tRNA) molecules are approximately 80 nucleotides in length. Their secondary structure includes four short double-helical elements and three loops (D, anti-codon, and T loops). RNAcentral also lists the same sequence under 2 other names. The record is from Rfam by way of RNAcentral. Lineage: Eukaryota; Metazoa; Chordata; Mammalia; Artiodactyla; Camelidae.
GGAGGUAUAGUUCAUUGGUAGAGUGUGUGCUUAGCAUGCACAAGGUCCUGGGUUCAAUUCCUAGUACCUCCU